Molecule: long non-coding RNA, 764 nt
Filed under: Octopus vulgaris (common octopus)
Lineage: Eukaryota; Metazoa; Mollusca; Cephalopoda; Octopoda; Octopodidae
Source: RNAcentral
AAAUGAAGAUGGAAGAAUCACUAUUUGUCCUGCAUUGUGAGCAUGUCCAUCAUUUUGUAUUGCAUCUCUGUGAUGGAUGUAGUCCUCAGUUCAGCUUUUUUUUUUUUAUUCAUCUUGAUAAAAAGAAGCCUUUCAGAUUCAAUUUUGGCAUACAUGUCAACAAAGAACUGAUUUAACAAUUGACCAAAUCUGAGCAGAUGGUUAAAGUUGUUUUGCCUCAGCAUGAUUUUGUAUGCAUAAAAGUCCUGAACAUAUAUCUUCUUGUUUGUCUGCAAUCCAGUGUUUGGGUCAGUUUAUUUUUAGAGUAAGUGGUACCUAUCUGUUCCUUGCAAAAAAUCAAUGGAUACUGUAGAGCAUCAUAGGAUCUGUGAAUCUCUGCAAUCUUUUGAAGUGUUCCAUCCUGUUUCUGGAGAACUAUGUCCCUAUUUUUGUCAAAGUCUUGCCCAACAAUGCGAAUGGUGACUUCACUUGUUGUUAGAGCAUUAAAUUUUCUUUCAUGUUCUCCAGAAGGAGUUUUGUCUGUCCUAAUUAUUACUUAGUCCUCAGAACCUGCUCUUUGCAUUGCUGACUUGAAUUCUGUGGAUUUUCUUGAUGUAACAAGUCUUGAAGAUCCAGAAUGAUACUCAACUUUAAUUCCUGGGAAAUAUUUCUUCUUGCCUCUGCUGCUCAUGAUAAUUUUUAAUGAAGUAGAUUUGGAGAAACUGCUUGAGUUCAUUUGGAAGUGGCCAAAGAGAUCCAAUCCUGUGAUAAACUUGGCCCUGAAU